CUCCAGUCAGGCAAUAGAUGUUUGUUCUCAAAGACGCCAUUCACUUUUGGGUGCUUUCGGCUGCGCGGCGGAGAGGAUCACCAUGGCGGCGGCCGGGAAUGGAUUCUAGUUCCGAUCAGAUCCGAGUGCGCAGGUUCCCCUUGCCGGUGAUUGGGGGCGGCGAGUACACGCCGGCGGCUCACACCGUCGCAGAUCUGCUGAGCAAGGUAGCCGAGUCCGACAUUGGUGAGGUGGGGGAUGCGCCACCGGCGCUGCAGCUAGACCUGAAGGGCACAGGUUUGUGCGUCCAUUAGCUUGACGGCGCCGGACUCAGAACAGUUAAAGGGCACAGACGUCGGGUUAGACAAGAGGGGUCAUGUUGGACGGGCACCUACAGAACGGCCCCCCCUAUGCUAGCAGAGUGUGCACUCUCGAGAAAACAAUCACGGGAUAUGCAAAGAAGAAGACUCAAACUGUUGUAGUACCUGAAGUCGGCAGCAUAUUUGACUCACUGGGAGAAGUGUAUGACUACAAUCUGUACUCGGGAAAUUGAAUAUGAAAUUAGGCAUGGAAAGAACAGACUGGACGUCAGAGAACCAAGUGCAUGCAAGAGAUAGUGUGUUGAUGCUCAGUGAGUGUUUCUUCAAUCUCUUAUAUUCAGAAUUGGUAGUCGCUAACUCUGUGCAUUCGGUUUAUUUGGUUCGGUAAAUAAGAUAUUUUUUGGUUUGUGCAAUAUCAAUAUUUCAGCAAGUAUGGUGUGAAAUUAAAAUACGGUUUGGUUUCGGUAUACACCAAACUAUUUCAGUAUAGUUUUGGUAGAUACCAAAUUAACAAAAUUAGACGUGAAUUUAGUAAUGAGGCAACACUUUUGAAACCAUUUGAAGACAGCUAGAUACAGGAUUAAUGUGAUUGUUGGCUGUGGCAACAGUGCCUUUGUUUGCUCACAAGGCAAUUUUGAGACAAAGGGACCAAUUCAGAGCCAAAUGCAGGGUACCCUGUGAACCUAGUUAGCACACAAACUAUCUUGUGCAUGUAAUUCUGCUGUCUGCAGUUCUGCCAAUAACACAAAAUUAGCAAUACACAUUUGACAAGCUUUGUGUAAUUGAGCCAUAUUGCUGAGUCUGUUGCCAGUUUGUGUUAGGAUACUCAGGAAUCUCAUAUCUUUCAAAUUCUCCAACACCAAACAGUAGGGCAGGUUAGGAUCUGGUAUAUCACAACUCACAGCCAUCCGAAGAUCUGAAGAAAUAAGAACACCAAAGAUAAACUAUUACCUGCAAGUUCUUCUAAAUCCAUAAAAUCAAAGCGAAAUAGCCAACAUCAAUGAAGUUGAGACAUUUGUAAAGCACUAUAAUAGUAGUGAGCGAUCUUUGCAUUAAAGACUUGUGCCUUUAUCUUUAUGGACUAUGGUGAAGGAAUUCAUGCAGCUUAUUAGGCUGUGCGGGACGGUCAGAGAAUGCGCCUAAGCAGGUCGGCGCCCGAUGAUGGAGAGGCGUAGUGUUGCAGCGAGUGCAGGGAGGGGAAGGGAUCAGACGAGAGGGCGAGCCGGUCGCGCAUCAGAUGGCAGAGUGCCGCUGGAGGCUUGGUGGUGCAGCGCCAGUGAGCCAGUGGUGGCUGGUGAGUGUGCUGCUGCCAUUGCUUGCGUGCGAUGGUGCGUGUCUGGUAGGCGUCUACACAAGGCCAGGUUCCAGGUCGUUAGUGAGGCCAGGAAUAUGCAUUGAGAUUCCUGCAGUUGGUUUAUUCUGAAAGUGUUAUUCCGCACCAUGAGCCUUACAAGCUGGAGCUUGACGGGCAUGCCAUGUUGAAAAACUAUGGGCCAGAUCUUGGCUUGAAGGCAAACAGGACGGGCACAUCCGUCCGCAUGAUGCAGUUGAAAGACGACAAGCUUUACCCAGGAAGUGCUCCCCGUGGGCCGUGGCGGUGUUUGAUGAACCUGAGUUUUCAGGAUGAAUUCAUGUGUGGCCAAAAGAAACCUCACUGGGACAGGAUAUUCUGGAUGUACAACAAGCAGAAACUCCAACACGACUUGCGCGAAUGCUAAAAUUUCAUGGUUGCCGCUGAUAGUGGAUGAUGUCUGGUGCCUUUAUGAGUUCGACAUCAAACGCAUAACUCUGUAGGUGAUGGACCCAAUGUUGGCAUUGGCCCCGCUUAGGCAAAUGAUGAAGAAGCAUGCCCGGACAAGCAAGCUUAUUCUGCACAGCCUAUGGUGAUGUCUUCGUGAAUUCUUUCCAGACUAGCAUUUUCCUACUUUCUCAUGCACUUACAAAUACUCCCUCCGUUCCUAAAUAUUUGUCUUUUUAGAGAUUUCAAAUGGACUAUCACAUACGGACGUAUAUAGACAUAUUUUAGGGUGUAGAUUCACUCAUUUUGCUCCUUAUGUAGUCACUUGUUGAAAUCUUUAGAAAGACAAAUAUUUAGGAACGGAGGGAAUACAACUCUGCAUACAUCCCAGCCGCAGCAGGUAUUCCCUAGUGUUUGUGUUCUGGAUUCCAUUUCCGUGCUCAGCGGGCAGUUUUCUAGUACUGAUCAACAACACAAAUUGAAACAUAGCGCUGACAGUGGGUUUUAUGUGCUCCAUUAUAUGCAAGAGUUCGAUGGUGUCAUGCUCAAGACGACUCCUCCCAACACCUGUAACUUUUGGCUCAUCGACAGAUCGUCUUGGCAGUUGCACGCAACAGCAUGAGCAGAUCGGUCCAGAACGUCGUGGCUGACUCUAGCAAACAGCUGUCCGCUAUGCAUGUGGGUCCGUCACAACCCUAUACGGUCGACAAUACCUGACCAGCCCAUAUCCCGAAGGAAACGAGCGCCUACCGAUUCCAGGAGUAUGCGAGCUCGUCCGCGCUUGCGGAUUUUCGAGGCGGAAUCCACUACUUUAUCCAAAGCUGAAGAUAGUAUUAACUCUUCAACGGAGGGACUGAGGAAAAAGGCUGGCUUUGCAAACCAACAAAAGGCACAGCAUAAUUACGGAGCACAACAGAAGCAAGCUAUGCAAUUAACAGAAGAAGUUAUGCAAAUUAGUUAUGCGUUUACACAAAUCAACAGUGUGAUAAUGGACAAACUGAAAUGGCAGGGUAAGCAGAUUGAGCAGUA
Molecule: long non-coding RNA, 3066 nt
Organism: Aegilops tauschii subsp. strangulata
Lineage: Eukaryota; Viridiplantae; Streptophyta; Magnoliopsida; Poales; Poaceae
Source: RefSeq, a predicted model, not a curated record